Oryctolagus cuniculus (rabbit) is the source of this 2399-nucleotide non-coding RNA. The record is from RefSeq and is a predicted model, not a curated record. Lineage: Eukaryota; Metazoa; Chordata; Mammalia; Lagomorpha; Leporidae.
CUUCCGGCGAGGGCUGCCUGAGGGGUUAGUGGUUCAUCCUCACAGGACAAGUAGAAAACUGGAAGCAGGAAGUCCAGCAAAUCAUUUCCAGGAGUUGUAAAUUGACCAAAGGCAGACAACAAAGUUCCAUUCUUGAAGAACUGGAGCUUCGGUUGAAGACAGAAGGCACAGGUGCCCAACCCUGGGCAGCCUCUGAGAAGGCACGUGUGAGCCAGUGACAUGGGAGUGCAGAGCCCAGGCAGUUCGUUUACCUGCAGAAGCUGGACCCGCUGCUCUGCUCCACAGCAUCUGGCAAUUGACACGAUCCCGUAAGUCAAUUUUGCAGCUGAGUGGACUGAGGCCCCAGAAAGCCAAAGGCCUGAAGUAGAAAAUAUCAAGCAGGUGACUCAUUAAGUCUGGAGUCUAGGACUUGAGCUCUGUGGAACAGCCUACGCACUACUGAUCUUAUUGGAUAUUAGGAAGCCUGAUUGGUCUGUGGCCUCAGUUUCGGCCAGCAUGAGAAGAGAGUGAGAGCUCGGGAACAGUUUCCCCUGCUGAGUUUUCAGGGUUUUGAAUGUAUUAUCCUCCUACCCAGCUCACUUUGAUUCUCCAUCUAAUUCUCAUCAUCUGCCACUACUUCUGCCUUGCACGUUCCAUUGUGUUCCAUCCAAGGUGCUUGCAAAUGCUUCCAUUUCUUCAGGAGCUCCACACCUCCCAUCUCAACUUGGCAGAUGGCCUGCUCUGCCUUUGCUUUUCCUGAGAAGACUGAGACCCAUUGAGCGACCUCUGGUCAUCUCCUCUACUUCACUGUCUCUGAUUUGUCAUGUCCCCUCCACUUUCAGAAAAUGAAGUGGACAUUCUCCUCAACAGAGCCAGCCUCAGAUGCCAUCCUUUUGGCCUGGACCCUCUGAGAUCCUCCUGUAGUCCAGAUUGUUUCUCUCUCCACUGUACCCUCAGACAUGCACUUGAUCCGGUUGUAUCUCCCCACCUCAUCUCUACUCCUUUUCACCAGUUAUCCACACUGCGCCCACCAGUUUCUCACCCCUGUGUCCUCUCAAACUUCUUUGAUGGCCAUCUCCCCUAGCUUCUACUCAAAUGGCACCUCUGAAGGUCAGAGAUGUGGGUAAAACUUCCCAAUCUUUAUCACUCAGGGCUUUGUAACCUUGAACACUCUUAACCACCUAUCUUCCUUGAAACUCUUUCCUUGGUGGGUCUCCAUGGCCCUCAACUCUGAGUUCUCAUCAUGUUUCUCACCCAUUGCUUUUUCAUUCCCAAGGCAAAUCUUCUUCUUUUUAUUACAGAUCUCAUAUUUUCUAGUAUUUCUCUGAAAACUCAUUUGUUCUCUUAUUCCUAAGCUCUGUGGAAUUAGUUGGUAAGGGAAACUGAGAUAGUGAGAAUAGGAGGCAUCUGUUUGCUUUUGGGUUUCUUGGCAUUUGAAGGGAUUGCUCCAGUGUGUCCCAUUGUUGUUCAUUUCCUGGCUUCUGUGUCUUCCUAACUUACAUGAUGCAAAUGUACAUUCAAUACUUUGUUUAUGGACUCUGGAAUCAAGAGUCUUAAGCUGUGUUGUUGACUGGUUGACUUCAAGAUGAAUGGCAGGUCUAUAUCUCUUCCUGUCUGGUUUGUGAAAAAAAAAACCAAACUUCUGUGCUGCUGCCUUUUGGACCAGAUGUGAUGUAUAACUGACCUUUGAAUGGGCUGAUGGGGGAAUACACAGACCCUGGCAGUGACCUGGUGGUUUGAUAUACAGAGCCUGCCUUAUUCAGAAUGGCUGACAGCGCUUCUGCUUGGCAGGAGUAUUCCUGCCUCAGAAGCAGAGGUGCCCAGGAAGAGGGAGUACUGAGUACCCCCUCUCACUGACCACCCUCUUCCCAGUAGCAGCACCAUCUGAGCAGCAGCCCAACUAAGUAAGCGUCCCUAGAGCAUGACCUCGAGCCCACCAGGCUUCUUUCUCAGUGAAAAUCAACCUUGUUUUAAAUUAGUCUUUGUGUCUGCUCUGGCUUUCAAUAAGAUUCUUUUGUGAACUUUAUCAACAUCACUGACAAACUGGGAGAUGCCCAAAUCUCAACAGAAAUCAAUCAAGCGUUACAAUUUUUGGGGAAAAAAUAGUUGGUUUGUUUUCUGACUUGUACCACAAACAGCGGCUCCAAUCUGUCAUUAUGACUGAGAACAUGUCACAACAAUCUGUUUUUAUUCUUUAGGAAAGAAGAACAACAUCUUGCUCUCCUCCAGCUACAGCUAAUUUAGAAAAUUUGCAAGCUGACAUGCAACUUGAUUAAAAUGACCUGGAGUCACCAAUUCUUUUAAAAUGCAACUCAAUGCUCACAACCUCAGACCUUCUGUAGUCCAAUUGUCUCCUUCAGAGCUUUUUUCUUUUCUUUUUUGUUGGGGGUUGGGAGAACAGGGAUCAAAAAAGAACUGUA